Long non-coding RNA from Crotalus tigris (Tiger rattlesnake), 468 nucleotides. RefSeq lists it as uncharacterized. The record is from RefSeq and is a predicted model, not a curated record. The transcript is spliced from 4 exons. NCBI's taxonomy places the organism in Eukaryota, Metazoa, Chordata, Lepidosauria, Squamata, Viperidae.
UCUAUCUGUCUAUCCAUCCAUCCAGAGAGAUUUUCAAGCAUUGAGAAGUUUUAUAAAAAAUAGCUUCCAAAGCUUAAUUUAAGAAAGUGAAGUUUCUUCUGCAAGAAGAAGAGGACCUUAUAAAAUUGGAUUCUUAAGAAUUGGCAUUUAAGGAUUCCCAGAGGAAAGCUAGAUCCUGUACCAGAGAUUUUUGUAGACCAGGGGUGUCAAACUGCCAGCCUGUGAGCCAGUUGCAUCAUGUGAAGACCGUGCCCACCCAGCUCCGGCAAUGCAAAAAAAGUCACGAUAUGUCACAACAUGUCAUGUGACACGAGCAAAGCAUAUGCUACUUGGGAGACGUUGGGAGAGAGGACAUAAAACAAAUGGAGUUCAUGAAUAUACAAUUUUUAUUGUACACAGAAGCAAUAUCCAAACUUCAGAGAAUAGAACUGAGGCCUUUGAACUAUGGUGCUGGAGAAGACUCCUGCG